Molecule: unclassified non-coding RNA, 370 nt
Filed under: uncultured Tomentella
Lineage: Eukaryota; Fungi; Basidiomycota; Agaricomycetes; Thelephorales; Thelephoraceae
Description: sequence contains ITS1
Rfam family: 5.8S ribosomal RNA (bases 1-106)
Source: RNAcentral
GAAAUGCGAUAAGUAAUGUGAAUUGCAGAAUUCAGUGAAUCAUCGAAUCUUUGAACGCACCUUGCGCCCUUUGGCCAUUCCGAAGGGCAUGCCUGUUUGAGUAUCAUAAACACCUCAACUCUUCAUGGUUUUCCAUGAUGAGCUUGGACUUUGGGGGACUUGCUGGCCUACAGUCAGCUCCUCUAAAAUAAAUCAGCUUGCCAGUGUUUGGUGGGUAUCGCAGGUGUGAUAACUAUCUACGCUUGUGGUUUUCCACCAAGUAACCUUCAGCAGUGGAGGUUCACUGGAGCUCACAGACGUCUCUCCUCAGUGAGGGACAGCCCUUUGAAUGUUUGAUCUCAAAUCAGGUAGGACUACCCGCUGAACUUAA